AAUAUUGCACAAUGGACGAAAGUCUGAUGCAGCAACGCCGCGUGAGGGAUGACGGCCUUCGGGUUGUAAACCUCUUUUAGUAAGGAAGAAGCCUUCGGGUGACGGUACUUGCAGAAAAAGCACCGGCUAACUACGUGCCAGCAGCCGCGGUAAUACGUAGGGUGCAAGCGUUGUCCGGAAUUAUUGGGCGUAAAGAGCUCGUAGGCGGUUUGUCGCGUCUGCUGUGAAAUCCCGGGGCUCAACCCCGGGCCUGCAGUGGGUACGGGCAGACUAGAGUGCGGUAGGGGAGAUUGGAAUUCCUGGUGUAGCGGUGGAAUGCGCAGAUAUCAGGAGGAACACCGAUGGCGAAGGCAGAUCUCUGGGCCGUAACUGACGCUGAGGAGCGAAAGCGUGGGGAGCAAACAG
Molecule: ribosomal RNA, 405 nt
Filed under: uncultured bacterium
Lineage: Bacteria
Description: partial 16S ribosomal RNA
Rfam family: Bacterial small subunit ribosomal RNA
Source: RNAcentral